RNAcentral lists this small nuclear RNA (24 nucleotides) under Arabidopsis thaliana (thale cress). RNAcentral's name for it is "snRNA_07759". Lineage: Eukaryota; Viridiplantae; Streptophyta; Magnoliopsida; Brassicales; Brassicaceae. The record is from RNAcentral.
CUGAUUGGCGGGAUCCCUCGCGGG